UACGUAGGGGGCGAGCGUUGUCCGGAUUUAUUGGGCGUAAAGCGCGUGUAGGCGGUCCGGUAAGUCCGCUGUGAAAGUCGAGGGCUCAACCCUCGAAUGCCGGUGGAUACUGUCGGGCUUGAGUACGGGAGAGGCGAGUGGAAUUCCUGGUGUAGCGGUGAAAUGCGUAGAGAUGUGGAGGAACACCAGUGGCGAAGGCGACUCUUUGGCCUGUAACUGACGCUGAGGCGCGAAAGCGUGGGGAGCAAACAGG
Molecule: ribosomal RNA, 253 nt
Filed under: uncultured bacterium
Lineage: Bacteria
Description: partial 16S ribosomal RNA
Rfam family: Bacterial small subunit ribosomal RNA
Source: RNAcentral